CGAAGUUCCAAGGGGUGUCCCUACUAUUUGUAGGGGCUGAGACGGCUGAGAGAGCCGAACCCUUUGAACCUGAUCCGGGUCAUGCCGGCGAAGGGACUGGGACGUUGCGCGGCA
RNAcentral lists this non-coding RNA (114 nucleotides) under Candidatus Phaeomarinibacter. RNAcentral's name for it is "Candidatus Phaeomarinobacter TPP sequence". It matches the Rfam family "TPP riboswitch aptamer (THI element)". From Rfam's summary of the family: Vitamin B(1) in its active form thiamin pyrophosphate (TPP) is an essential coenzyme that is synthesised by coupling of pyrimidine and thiazole moieties in bacteria. The previously detected thiamin-regulatory element, thi box was extended, resulting in a new, highly conserved RNA secondary structure, the THI element, which is widely distributed in eubacteria and also occurs in some archaea. Analysis of operon structures identified a large number of new candidate thiamin-regulated genes, mostly transporters, in various prokaryotic organisms. Lineage: Bacteria; Pseudomonadati; Pseudomonadota; Alphaproteobacteria; Hyphomicrobiales; Parvibaculaceae. The record is from RNAcentral.